RNAcentral lists this ribosomal RNA (1117 nucleotides) under Pediococcus acidilactici. RNAcentral's name for it is "bacterial SSU rRNA". The stretch from base 167 to 1117 matches the Rfam family "Bacterial small subunit ribosomal RNA", at positions 1 to 852 of the family's 1533-position model. Lineage: Bacteria; Bacillati; Bacillota; Bacilli; Lactobacillales; Lactobacillaceae. The record is from RNAcentral.
GAGUACGACCGCAAGGUUGAAACUCAAAAGAAUUGACGGGGGCCCGCACAAGCGGUGGAGCAUGUGGUUUAAUUCGAAGCUACGCGAAGAACCUUACCAGGUCUUGACAUCUUCUGCCAACCUAAGAGAUUAGGCGUUCCCUUCGGGGACAGAAUGACAGGUGGUGCAUGGUUGUCGUCAGCUCGUGUCGUGAGAUGUUGGGUUAAGUACAUGCAAGUCGAACGCAACUUCCGUUAAUUGACUAGUUGCCAGCAUGCAGUUGGGCACUCUAAUGAGACUGCCGGUAACAAAACCGAAGUGAAGGUGGCGGACGACGUCAGUAAUCAUCAUGGGUAACCUGCCCUAUGAAGCAGGGCAUACACACCUGCUACAACAGAUGCUACAUACCGUAGUAACAGAGAAAACCGCCAGGUUUAGCUAAUCUCUUAAAACCAUGGCUCAGCUAUCGGACUGUAUGGAUGCAACCGCGGCGCAUUAGCUACGAAGGUCAGGUAAUCGGCUCACCAAGCGCGAUGAUGCGUAGCCGACCUGACAGCGGUAAAUACGGUCCACAUUGGGACUUGUACACACCGCCCAGACUCACUACCGGAGGCAGCAGUAGGGGAAUCACUCCACAAGCCGGUGGACGCAACCUCUGAUGGAGCAACGCCGUCGUAAGGUGAAGACAGAUGAUUAGGCUCCGUAAAGCUCUGUUGUUAAAGAAGAACGUGGGUGAGAGUAACUGUUCACCCAGUGACGGUAUUUAACCAGAAAGCCACGGCUAACUACGUGCCAGCAGCCGCGGUAAUACGUAGGUGGCAAGCGUUAUCCGGAUUUAUUGGGCGUAAAGCGAGCGCAGGCGGUCUUUUAAGUCUAAUGUGAAAGCCUUCGGCUCAACCGAAGAAGUGCAUUGGAAACUGGGAGACUUGAGUGCAGAAGAGGACAGUGGAACUCCAUGUGUAGCGGUGAAAUGCGUAGAUAUAUGGAAGAACACCAGUGGCGAAGGCGGCUGUCUGGUCUGUAACUGACGCUGAGGCUCGAAAGCAUGGGUAGCGAACAGGAUUAGAUACCCUGGUAGUCCAUGCCGUAAACGAUGAUUACUAAGUGUUGGAGGGUUUCCGCCCUUCAGUGCUGCAGC